This 494-nucleotide ribosomal RNA is filed under the name uncultured bacterium. RNAcentral's name for it is "partial 16S ribosomal RNA". It matches the Rfam family "Bacterial small subunit ribosomal RNA", at positions 28 to 507 of the family's 1533-position model. The record is from RNAcentral.
GGCGAACGCUGGCGGCGUGCUUAACACAUGCAAGUCGAACGGAAAGGCCUGCUUUCCCUUGUGGAUUGCGGGUACUCGAGUGGCGAACGGGUGAGUAACACGUGAGUGAUCUGCCCCCAACUUGGGUAUAAGCCUGGGAAACUGGGUCUAAUUCCCGAUAGGACUGCAGGGUGGUGCCUGUGGUGGAAAACGAUUUUCUAGUGGUUGGGGAUGAGCUCGCGGCCUAUCAGCUUGUUGGUGGGGUAAUGGCCUACCAAGGCGGCGACGGGUAGCCGGCCUGAGAGGGUGGACGGCCACAUUGGGACUGAGAUACGGCCCAGACUCCUACGGGAGGCAGCAGUGGGGAAUAUUGCACAAUGGGCGGAAGCCUGAUGCAGCGACGCCGCGGGGGGGAUGACGGCCUUCGGGUUGUAAACUCCUUUCGACCGCGAGGAAGCCACCUGGUUGGAAGGGUGGUGACGGUAGUGGUAGAAGAAGCACCGGCUAACCACGUG